Non-coding RNA from Equus caballus (horse), 2577 nucleotides. NCBI's taxonomy places the organism in Eukaryota, Metazoa, Chordata, Mammalia, Perissodactyla, Equidae. The record is from RefSeq and is a predicted model, not a curated record.
UGGGGAUGAGGAGGAGGGGAGGGCAGGAGGAAGGAAAGACAAAGGGCACAAGGAAACUUUUUUGGGGAGAUGGAUAUGUUCAUGAGCUUGACUGUGCUGAUGGUUUCACGGAUGUAUCCAUAUGUUAAAACUUAUCAAAUGGUACACAUUAAAUAUGUGGUUUAUUGUCAAUCAUACCUAAAAAGAAGGAGGAGGAGGAGGAGGAGGAGGAAGAUGUAAGACAUGGUCCCUGCCCUUGGGGAGCUUGCAGUAGAAAUUGUAUAAUCAAGAUUCACAGGCUUUCCCUGUAAACCAAUGAACGGACGGUGGCUCUAGAGUUUAUACAGCACGGGGGCUUAAGGACGACAUUAACGGAUGAAAAUUGUGCGAUGUUUCUAGUAACCUAUACUGAAGCAGAGUUUGUAUAGAAAGUGGCUGGGUUUUUGAUUGUUUAUUGGGGUGCUUUGUGGAUGCUUAUGGAGAUUAUGAGAGCAAGGCUGAGGUCCCUCGUGCCACCCCAUUAGGCUCUGCUGCUGCAGUUAACUCUCUGCUAAGCAUCCUAACAAGUAAACAAGACGGAUUCCCUUUAGCAUCUGGGCUCACAUGUCCCAACCCCAGGGCCCGCCCCCAGCAGCCUUCCCCCUCUCUCUAGCACCUUCUCCUACCCCAUCCUGUCUUCAUUCCCUUCCUGCUGCCUUGUCCAAGGGUCCGGUGAGGAGCUCUUGCUGAGGGAUUAGCGCCUGGAGGGUGCUUGUGUUAUUUCUCUCAAUAGGACCUACGCUUUCAUAGAUCUGCAGAAUAAAAGGAUUCAUCCUUAGAGGGGGUUUUUAGACUCUACCGAGGAUUGAGGGACCUUCCCGCCACAUUGGCCUACAGUCACCGAUCACCCUCUGCAGUGACACGUCAAGGGACCCUUCCGCCCCCGUUACUGGUCUGCUGGUAGAGGGAAGCAGAGCUCAUCUCCGACCCCCCUUCACAUCAAGCACUCAGGGAGGAGCAGGGGGUGGGGAAGCCCAGAGCCUUGCUGCCUGUUGGAAACCCCAUGGCUCUGGCUGCCCCUGCAGUUCCACCUGCGAUGGUGAACUCCAGGCUGAGACGUGGGGAACAAACCCCACGUCCUACGAAGGACACACCCUACUGAGACUCUGCCUGCCAAAGAGGGGCUUGGAAUCUCUCUGGAACGGAAUCCUUUUUCCCUCUAGGUAGCAAUGAUGGGGCCAGGGCAGCCCUAGAUGGAGCUAGAGGAUGAGCUGGGCCCUUGACUCAGAGCCCCUGCAUUUUGAGGUGGCACAGGCAAGCCCUGCAGGCCAGCCCCUCUGGAGGCUGACUCACCCAGGGCCGGCUGAGCCCAAGUCAGAAGCCAGUUUGAGACACAGAACAGCAAUGUGGUUUCUAGAGGUGUUUUAACUGUGCUUUAAUUCUUUAGAAAACUGAGCAUGGGAUCAGGAAAUCUCAGCCUGGAACAGUAGAAGUAGGCUAGCCCAGCCACCUCUCUGACUCAUUCAUCUCUGCUCCUCCAUCCCUGAGAGGUAGCCAUCUCGUCUUCACUGAACGCUUCCAGUGACAGGGUUUUAUUUUAAAACAAGCUCUAAUUGUUAGAAAGUUCUUCCUUAUAUGUGCAGCUGUGAAGAAGAAUGAGGAAGUUCUCUUUGUACCAGUGUGGAAAAAUCUCCAAGAUAUACUAUCAAGUCGAAAAACAAACAAACUGAACAAUGCUGCCCAGUGUACUAACGUUGAGAUUUUUAAAAAUGAGAAGAAUAAGAAUUGAUCUUCAUAUCUGCUUAUCUGUGCAUUAAGAAACUCUGAAAGAAUACACGAGAAACUUUAAAAAAUAAUAGUUACUUAUGGGGGAAAGGGAAAAACGAAGCAGAGAAUAACGACAGUAAUGAGAGCCGACACAGGUGUGAAAUUUACUGCGUCCCAGGAACUAUUCCAAGUCCUUCGCAUGUAUGAACUCAUUUAAUCCUCACAACAACCCUACAUCAGGAUCCCCCUUUUUCAGAUGAGGAAGCUGAGGCUCAGAGAGGUUAAGUAACUUGCCUACCAUCACACAGUAUGCAGCAGGGCCAAGAUACAAACCCAGGAGGCAUGGCUGCAGAGACUGCGCUCUUAAAGACGGUGACAAACUGUCCCAACCAGAGUCUAAGGAGGGGAGGUUGGUUCUCUGGGCAAUGAGGUCCUGCUACAUGGACUCCUUCCCAGGAACGGAGAAGAACAUUCUGGAUUCUUUCCGCUGAUCCCUAGAUGUCCUGGGCUUCCGUACCCUUCCCCAUGCUGGUUAGUCUUCCCCAAAUACAUGCCAUGAUAUCAUGGGCCUCUUAAGGGUGAGGCCCCAACAGAACUCGGUUCUCCAGCACUGGCCUAGCCAAUUGAUUAUCGCCUCCCUAGUUCUGAGAACUGUAUUUCGACUAAUACAGCCUACAUUUACAUAUGUUUUUUUGGAAUCCUCAUUUCUCUGUUGCAAUUAAUUAAAACAUCCAACAUUGAUUCCCAUGUGCUUCUGCUUAUUCAGCUCUUCCCUGUUCCUGACUGGUACAGUCGUUUUCUGAGCCCACGUCUGAGAUGUUAAAUCUCUAGCCAUUAAACUUUAUCUUGUUA